ACCAGUAUGGUGCAGUGGUUUGAGCAUUGGACUAGGACUCUGGAGACCAGGGUUCAAUUCCCAGCUCAGCCA
Non-coding RNA from Phrynosoma platyrhinos (Desert horned lizard), 72 nucleotides. The record is from the annotation of a GenBank genome assembly. Lineage: Eukaryota; Metazoa; Chordata; Lepidosauria; Squamata; Phrynosomatidae.